UUCUGGAAUGCCGAGUAGAUCAGAUGAUGAUCGAAAGGUCCCGGAAGUCGCCCGCACUUUCCACGCUCGACUGUUAACUGCGCUUUCAGCGCUCAGCUUUCAGCUUUCAACGAGCUGAUGGCUGAUCGCUGAAAGCUGAUAGCAAGCAGUUUGCUCUUUGACAACUGACGUUCGUGAGAUGUGUGGUGUUCGAGGAAUCACACCGAGAACUACGAGACCAAGCGCGUAA
Molecule: unclassified non-coding RNA, 229 nt
Filed under: uncultured bacterium
Lineage: Bacteria
Description: 16S-23S intergenic spacer
Source: RNAcentral